AGGAUAGUGCCAUAUAAGUAGAACAGUUUUGUUACGCUGGCUAGUGGGUGCAUGGGAAUUGUUGAGAACUGCACUGGGAACUUCGGCAUGUACAUUCUUAUGGGCUUUUUUAUGUGUAUUAUUACCAAUCUUCCUUUUUAGUGAUGUGAGAUCUGUAUCUAUUGGGAACGUAUGUUCCCAUGACUGGGACAGAUAUGAAUACAAAGAUCUAUCAUUCGUAUUACUAGUUAUUUCCAUGGCACAAUUCCCU
Non-coding RNA from Pelobates cultripes (western spadefoot toad), 250 nucleotides. NCBI's taxonomy places the organism in Eukaryota, Metazoa, Chordata, Amphibia, Anura, Pelobatidae. The record is from the annotation of a GenBank genome assembly.